This 1006-nucleotide long non-coding RNA is filed under the name Ursus maritimus (polar bear). RNAcentral's name for it is "lncRNA (ENSUMAG00000022468.1)". Lineage: Eukaryota; Metazoa; Chordata; Mammalia; Carnivora; Ursidae. The record is from RNAcentral.
UGUUACUUUUAUGGAUGCUUGAUUCCAACUUCCCUUUCUUUACAUGGCCCUGUUGUCCAUUUCAGGCCUGGAUGGAGUUCUUGGAGGCAGUUAAGCUAACAGUGGGUGCACAAGACUUUUCUUCUUCCAUCAUAAUUGCCACAUCUCAGGACCACGUCCUCUCCCAGCAUUUGCAGUAUUUGAGCAGAUCUUUAGAGCUCUGUCGGAUAAGCUCUGCGGGCGCUGGAGUCUGCAGUACGGGCUCUCCGCAUGCCUUCUGCGGUUUUGCUUCUCGCAAGCAGGUUGUUUCUGCACCGUCUGUGUCCUUUAGGAAAGCCCGUUUCGUUUAGGUGAGAAAAGCAUUGACUUCCUGGCAAAAUGUUCCCAGGAAGAACUCGGCCCCUGGAAGUUUUAUAAUUUUAGCAUUUAUAUUUAGGUCUAUUAUCCGUUUUUUUAAAAAAAGUUAAUUUUUGCUUCAGCAUGAGAUGAAGGUCUUAGGUUUUUUUAUUCUUUUAUUUCUUUAGAUAUCCAAUUAUCUCAAACACCAUUUGUUGAAAAGACAAUGAUUCCACAUUGAAUCACCUUGGAACUGUUAUUAAAAAUCAAUUGACCUUGAAUGUAGAGUGCAUUUCUGGACUCUUCUGUUUCUUAGUCUCUAAGUCUAUCCUUAUGUUGAUGUCAUCCUGUCUUGAUAAUUGUAGCUUUAUAGGAAGUUUUAAUAUUGGGUAGUGUGGUAGGCUGAAAAAUGGUCCUCCAGUGUGGGGAUUCACAGUGCCUGUGCAGACAAAAACUAACUUGUAUACGCCUCCCUGGAUGGGACUAAUUGCAAAACAAAGGAGGAGUGCCCGGAACGCUGGGCCUCCUCUGAAGUUUCUUGGCUGAACGGCUGGAUUCUUACUGCGGCUCAAGGGUCUCAUCCAGGGAGUAAACGCAGGUACCUGUAGUGGUCACGUACUUCACCAACUCCUUGUUUGCAUGUGGUGUGUUAAUUAAACUCACAAUAAAAGCAGAGACAGAGCUUGGCUCA